This 206-nucleotide long non-coding RNA is filed under the name Elaeis guineensis (African oil palm). RNAcentral's name for it is "long non-coding RNA (EGUI_LNC054529)". Lineage: Eukaryota; Viridiplantae; Streptophyta; Magnoliopsida; Arecales; Arecaceae. The record is from RNAcentral.
UGCCGAGUAGCUUUAGGACAAGUGGGAGUUGUUCAAAAAUAUAUUCCAAAAGUCAAUCGUCAACUUGUUGACGGUUGAGCAACCUUAUAUUGUAAUUGAUUUGUAAAUAAAUUUUUGAUAUUUUCAUCAUAAGUUUUCAUCUUCUAAUGAACUCCGUUGUUGUAAUUAAGUCCUUAGGACUAUUUAGAUUCAAUAAAAAGAAGAUU